This is a long non-coding RNA of Acipenser ruthenus (sterlet), 487 nucleotides long. RefSeq lists it as uncharacterized. The transcript has 3 exons. Lineage: Eukaryota; Metazoa; Chordata; Actinopteri; Acipenseriformes; Acipenseridae. The record is from RefSeq and is a predicted model, not a curated record.
UCAGCCAGGUGACAGAAAGAGAAGGCAGCUUUGAAAUUACAACUAUAACCAAGUACUGCUGGUAAUGAAGCCACCCCUAGCGGGCAAUAUUUUCAUAUUUUAAAGCGUCUCUCUCUUAUUUUUUAUAACAGUGUUGUGAACAUACAGAAAUAUUACAUCCAGUCUGUAAUGUUUACGUUUUGUAUUACUUCAGGGACAUUCUUUGAAAAUGUAUAUCAAAGUCAUCAGCAUCAGACUACUGUAAGCCUGUACCGCCAAGACAUGCACCCACCCGACUUCAAAAAGCAGUUCCUGUUUUCUCAACAACCUAACUGGAGAAAUGAAGCAUAUUCCUUGAUUGAUUUCUAUCACACAGCGAGGCCAGGGGACAAAGAAUGGCAGACAGAAUGCUGAAAGGAUGCAAGAAUCCACUUUAAAGUCGGGAUAUGGCACAAGCCACUGAAAAGCUGUGUUGAUUCAGGGGUGAACUAGUAGAAGUGCUGCAAAU